Non-coding RNA from Prunus avium (sweet cherry), 585 nucleotides. The record is from RefSeq and is a predicted model, not a curated record. NCBI's taxonomy places the organism in Eukaryota, Viridiplantae, Streptophyta, Magnoliopsida, Rosales, Rosaceae.
GAUGGAAGAGUUGAGGAAGCUGGAAGAGGUACAGAGAAUGCUGACGUUCGUACAAUCUCGAGGCAUUCCAACGGCGUCGUCACCUGACGACUGUAGUUGCUUUCUUACUAAGCUCAUCCUCCUCCUGGUACAACCAUGUGGAGAACUUGACUUGGGCAAAAAGUGCAGUUUGGUUUCUGAAUAUAUGCCGAAGAUUUCUGCUGCAUUUCUUGAUGAAGCAUCCAAAUGGCUUAAUGGAGAAGGCUAUGAAGAAAAAUCUGUUGAAAAUGCUUUGCAGCUUGCCUGUAGCCAUAAGCCUGAGUCUAGUUCAUUGGACAAUAAUUCUGAAGAAAUGGCUAUGGUUGGACUGGACGCAAUGCAACGAGCAAAUUCUACCCUUGAAGAUUUUGUAAGCAGGCUUCGUUCUUGAAGAUAGAUUCUAUAUAUAAGAAUAUGCAUUAUUUAAUAGUUGAAUAUUCAUCAGUGCAUAGUACGGGGCAUUUUGGUUGCCGAUGGGGAAUGCUACAUGUGAUUGUAUUGAAACGAUUCUCUUAUUAUAUUUUUCAGUUUCUGAAAGUGAAGUAACCUAACAACCUCAGGUAACCC